AGUGAACGCUGGCGGCAGGCCUAACACAUGCAAGUCGAGCGGCAGCGGGUCCUUCGGGAUGACGGCGAGCGGCGGACGGGUGAGGAAUGCAUCGGAAUCUGCCCUGUCGUGGGGGAUAACCUAGGGAAACUUAGGCUAAUACCGCAUACGACCCACGGGUGAAAGCGGGGGAUCGCAAGACCUCGCGCGAUAGGAUGAGCCGAUGUCCGAUUAGCUAGUUGGCGGGGUAAAGGCCCACCAAGGCGACGAUCGGUAGCUGGUCUGAGAGGAUGAUCAGCCACACUGGGACUGAGACACGGCCCAGACUCCUACGGGAGGCAGCAGUGGGGAAUAUUGGACAAUGGGCGCAAGCCUGAUCCAGCCAUGCCGCGUGGGUGAAGAAGGCCUUCGGGUUGUAAAGCCCUUUUGUCCGGGAAGAAAUCGUCUGGGCUAAUACCCCGGGCGGAUGACGGUACCGGAAGAAUAAGCACCGGCUAACUUCGUG
This 484-nucleotide ribosomal RNA is filed under the name uncultured bacterium. RNAcentral's name for it is "partial 16S ribosomal RNA". It matches the Rfam family "Bacterial small subunit ribosomal RNA", at positions 30 to 507 of the family's 1533-position model. The record is from RNAcentral.